AUGUCGGACAUGAAGAAGGAGAUGGCUGCCAUUGCUAUCGGCUGGCUGGCCGUCAGGCAGCUGGAGGACGACGACGUCUCAAUGGAGGACGUUGUCGACGAUGAAUCGGCGCCACCCUCCUCCUCCGCGCCAACCUCGCUGGUGCAUUGCACCUUGACCAUCGGCGAGGCCCGUGCCCAUUACAUAGACAUGGUGUGGGAGGACAAGUUAUGGGAGGCGCAGGACGCCGCCGCCUACAACCACCACCUCGACUUCCGUGCCACGAAUCUCCCACAAUGCGGCUAUAUCUCCCACGUGUCGGGGCACGACUUAGAGGCAUAG
This 321-nucleotide ribosomal RNA is filed under the name Triticum aestivum (bread wheat). RNAcentral describes it as "partial small subunit ribosomal RNA". Lineage: Eukaryota; Viridiplantae; Streptophyta; Magnoliopsida; Poales; Poaceae. The record is from RNAcentral.